Molecule: long non-coding RNA, 12198 nt
Organism: Cygnus olor (mute swan)
Lineage: Eukaryota; Metazoa; Chordata; Aves; Anseriformes; Anatidae
Exons: 2
Source: RefSeq, a predicted model, not a curated record
UCAGCCAAAAAUGAAGAGACACGGGGCUAUUCUCUCAUAUACCAUCAAGAAAGACUGCAUUUCUCCCUUAGGCAUACUACAAAUUGAAAUCAAUGAACUCGGUUCAUGUUAUUGUCAGUAACGAAGGCUGCUGAAGACCGAGGUAACUGACGAAUGUCUCUUAUCCUGCUGCCUGUCUCUGAACCUGACAGCUCCCCAGCUGUUUUGCUGAGUGUUCACUGAUGGUCCAAACAGCCGUCUAAUUCUCCUACUUGCUUCUUUUAAUUCAGUUUAGAGGCAAGAACUUGAAGAAUGCAUCAACAAUACACACAGAGGAGGCAGUCCAUGUGAUCAUGACUUGGAAGAGAAACGUGGCUCAGCCUCUGAACGACAGAAAACUUCUGCUUCACCAUAAUUAAUUCAUAAACCUCAGAUGAGCUGGGAAACUACUCACUUGAGAUGAAUAAAAACAAACUAAAUAGAGAUUUAAAAGAAAAUCAUAAAACAUUCUUCAGGGUUCCCACUUUCUUCAAAGGUAGCAAAAACUAGCAAUUACAAUACUAGCUUUUAAAGUUCAGCUUUUUUUUUUUUUUUGAAGGCAAGGCUAGAGAAUGCCUCUCCUACUGCAUGUAUUCACCCUGAAAAAGAAAAGCACAAAAAGCCUAAGGAAAUUGAAAUCUCCAGUUGCCGCAACAGGGACUGCAAAGCUACAGCACCAAAAUUCAGUUGGCAGGUCUGAGAAAUGGUGAUACGUCCAAGAUAAUUACGUGCAAAUCCAAGGUGCACGACUGUCCUGGCUGCCUGAUGCUAGGGUGCGUUGGCUACUCAGGGUUAGCCUGGAAUACAUGAAUGAGUCCGCAACAGGGUAAGACGAGCAGGCUGUGGUGGAGUGUUUGAACAGAACGCUGGAAGUUUUAACUAUUCCAGGGAUUUGAUCUCUGCCAGAGAUUCAAAGGAUCGCAGCAGGUAAAGAAAUGGCAGACCAAAGCUUACCAGGCCCUUGCCCACCCUUCGCAAGUCUUCAAAGACUUCCAAGAGCAAUCAGCUUUGGAUCAGAAGAGCUCCAGACUGAGCCCUGAAGGCGUUUUAGAUCAAGCUCCCCUGAACGGAAUUCAGCUGACCAGCACAAACAGAGCCAACCUCAUUUAAAACACCAUAAAGAUUGAGCCGACUGAAAAAUAACUUGGACACCUUGGUCUCAUUUACACUGACCAGACGAUGCCCUGGUUAGCAGCAGUUCAGAUGACAUUUUCCCAGCUCUGUGCAAUGUGGAAGGACCUCAGCCAGACACAGGACACCGCAAACUUAUCAGCUGCCAGAAGCAAGAGCCCUAUCGCUCCGUAACACCUGUCUGCCAGGUGAGGUGUGAAAAGGCUCUGAGAGCACAUCCCCAUUAUCUAAGCUGGAGAACAGUACUUCGCAUCUUGGGAAGGGGAAAACUGGAGUUACGGAGGAAUAAAAAAGACCUGGGAAAUAUCCAACAACCUCAUCACACUUGUUGGACAGAGACCUACACUCAGAAGGACAAAGGGGAGAGUUGGGCAUCAGCUGCACCACUUUGUCUGCUGCAGUAGGGCAAUCUUGUCCAUUUUAACAGCAGAAUUGGAUCAAAAUGCUGGCAAAUGCCACAUUUGAGCUGGAAAUGCCGGUCACUUGAUGGGAGGACUUAGUGCACAGUAUGCCCUUCCACCCCUUCCAUUACUGCUUCUGUUUGAGAGAGAAUUUCCUGCACGACAGCCUCAGAGGUACAUUUGCUUACUUAUGAAGCAUUAUCUUCCUAGGGAAAAAAAAAAAAAGCUUUGUUUUAUUUCAAUGAAAGCUAAAAAAAAAUGCAGAAAAAGCCUAAAAAUAGUGUCUCUGAGGUUUUGCAAUUUUCACUACCUUCCUAAUGUAACACCAGAAGCAUUGCUCAUUUACGCAGCUACUUUUUUUUUUUUUCUUUUUCCCUGGAAAACUUUGUCAAACCCCACAUCCCACUAAAGACACUAUCUGAAGUGGGAGCAAAGAGAGAAUUUCCAACAUUUUGCAUUAAAAGGCAUCAACCAACACAAACAAUCAAGAGCUGAACACUCUUCUCUCCUUUGCAAUUCCCAUUUAAGACUGAGAUUAAUCAGAUUUAACUUCAGCUACUGGCAUAAGAUACACAUCUAGGUUCCCCUCUAGUCAAUGAGAGGAUCAGAACACCUACAAGUCAAUUCAGCCUGACCUAAAAUUGUUUCUAGUAGCUACUGACAUUUCCUUUAAGGUCCUUUUAGGCUAAAUCAUCAAACACAUCCAAACACUGUUUUUAUCAUCACUGAAAUGAAGCUGGAGGCCAAAACCCUCUGCAGCUUUAAAACCCUCACCACAAGCUCAUGCAGUCCAGCAGUUCUGCUGGUCAGCAGUUAAACCUUCAGACCAGAGGGGCAGAGCUACUAUCGCUAUUUCAGUGAGAGAUUUUUAGGCUCAGAAGAAAAGUACAUUAGAAAUGUACACCCAAGACAGCGUAUGGGCAUGAAAGGACGGGCACAGGGCAAGUAUGAAAGGUGAAGCGUGCAAGUUCCCUUCCAUUAUCAGGAGCCUAAGUGAGACGCUUCUCCAAGUGGCAGAAGGAGUCUGCCUCCGGGAUGUGGGGAGGUCACCGUCUGCUACGUGGUGUGAGUGAUAUCCAUGCAUGUCCCGGGCAGAAUAAGAGGAUAUGAUUUGGCAAUACCAGGCCAAAAAUAUCUGCGAUACAUAAAAUGAAGCAGUGUUAAAAACUGUUUGAAUAUUAACUCCUAGGUAACUAGAUAACAAUCUUUGAAGCUGAUGUCGUCGACCCUGCCUGUGCAUCAAAGCUUACCCUAAGUACUGCAAGUCAUUUAAAAACAUUCAGUUUUAAUUAAGUGGGUUAAUACGGGGUUGCUUCAGACAUGCAAGCGAGGGCCUCUCUGCAUUGCUGACAUACCAUCACGGACCUCACAUAUAUGAGAAGUAAGCCUUCUAGCUUUCAGGCUUUGGAUCAGACUCAGAUAAUCAGUUUAAAUAAGUUAAAAAUGAAUUAUGUGUAAACCUUUCUUGGAUGUUAGGACAUGUAUGAAUUGAUACAGGACAGUAUCACAUAAACCAAGUAACUCACGAAGCAAAUUUCACCUCUACAGAUUUGUAAGUUUUAUGAAUCCCGAUAAUAAAGUCAUUUCCCAGCAAAGAAAUGUUCCAGCAGCACAGCAGCAUUUUCUAAGUGUGUUAUCCAGCAGCACUAAGUUUCUCAGAAGUGUGAUUCCUGCAAGUGGAAGGAGAGAAGCAGAGACUGGAAUGCUUAAGUGCAAGCAGCUAAUCAGUAAGGAGCUGUUUUCCACCUAUCAAGUUAUUUUCUCAGGAUGCCAACCAUCAAGACACGGUGUUUUUCUAACUAGACCUAAAGGACACCCUCCAACUUUGAUAUCCCAUUUAUUCAAGUGCACCACAAACUGGGGGAAAGGAAAUCUCUCAACCUCUCUGCAGACUGUUUUAACAACAGUUACAGCAGAGAAGCCUUAAAGAAAAGAAGAAAAAAAGGAAAACCUCGUUGCAAUAAUGGAGACCUGCUGCUGUCAGUGGGUUCUGGACCAAGUCCAAAGAGGAGAGGGCCAGCGAGGUUUUAUUUGCCUCCCGCAGAGCAUCAGGAAGAGACCUGGAAAGACGCAGCAGCACCACGAGAAGGGCUCUCCUCUUCCCUCCUCCUGCGAGCGCAGCCAAUCGAGCCGAGACAGGAGGUGAGGCUCAACAGCAGUAACUCUGCCAACUUGAAGGAAACGUCAGGGUCUGGAGAAUUUCCUCACGUGUUUCCAAUGUGUUUUUUAUGCAUUUUAUUGCUCAUCUGCCAUGCAGAUCAAAAACGCUGGAGGGAUUCCAACUAUUUCACACAGAAUCUCACACUCCAGGCUGGCUGCAGCCCCAAAGCCUGAGUUUCUUCACUUGAAAUACUGCCCAGUGUUAUUUUGGGAUGUGACCUGAUAGCGGAAGCCCACAGGGACCCUGAAACGAUAACUGUUCCAGCUGCGAUUGGUUGCCCAAUCCUCACCGAUGCCAGCAUGGGUUUGUCAGUACUGCUGACAAACAAGGACUCAGCAGCUAACACCUUCUUUUCACACCACAACAAAACCAUGCCUGAAAUCACACAAUCUGGUACCCAAAGGAGGGGGCAGGGGAGUUCAUCUAUCUCUGGGAGAGGGUUGCAAGUCCUGGCAUGACCAACACGAGGGAGCCGGUUAGUUUGUGCUGGAAACAGCGAGGUUUCUUUUAUACCAACAGGGGAACCACCAUUUCGCUAUCUGAUACGAGCUCAUUUGUUAAACAAACACGAAGAUGAAACAACAAGAAAUACUUCAGAUCAAGGUAACAAAACCCCAGAGAACAGAUUCAAGGCUCUGCUCCGGCCCACCCCACUGAUCUGGAAGAGCAGGAAGACUGACCAGAAAGUAAAUUGAUCUCCUCACUGGGGACUGCGAGCUUCCUAUGCUGCUCCCCUGCCCGUCCCCAAGGUAAGUGCAUAUGAAAAGUGUGGGGGAAGAGGGAAGGAGCGCAGUCAGGGCCUACAAUCAUUACACCUAUCAGAUCACUAGAUAGCACUCAAGGAAAUUAUGAGCUGGAGACAAGCAUGUGGUAGAGGUUAUAAAUUCUGCAAGGCCAGUUGUUUCCAUAAAGAUGCUUACAAGCAAGACCACAGCACAAUGGCUAAAUUUAUUUCCCCGAUUCUUUCUGAAAGGGAAAAAGCCUCUUCAUUGCUUCUGACUAAUUGGAAUACCUACUUUUGAUUCCAAUUUCACGUUCUCUGCAGCUUACUUUCCACUCAUUCAAGAACUACCGACACCUAAAAUUACAAGCUUGUCCUCUCCCUCCCCUUUAUUUCCACCCCCAGCAUACCUCAAAAGUCCUCUCUACCACAAGAACGACACAGCUGACUGGCAGGCCAGAAUCUCCCUGCUAUUUCAGGGAAAACAGACUUGUUCCUCCUUCUAGAGUACAGACAACUGAAUCUUGCAUCUUAUGCCCCACAGAGCAACACAUCUCGUAACACCAAGUGGCCUGAAGACCUCACUGUGCUCCAUCUAGCAUAUCCUUCAGGUGCACAAUGACACCUCGUAAAGCUGACUUGAGAUUUCCCCAGAUCUGACAAGGGGUCCAGGCAGUGCCCUACAGCCCAUCACCACCUUUCUAUUUACAGCUUGCCUCUUUCAGACUGCUUCCCCAGUAAAAACUAGAAGCUGGAGUUGGGGAACACAACUUAAGCCACAGUAAAAACCCAUUUAAUACUUAUUAGGAUAGAGUAAUCUCCAUCUACAGCAUCCACAAUCUCCAAAGUUUUUUCUCACCAACAAACUGAACAGUCAGAAGGGAGUUUUUCAGUCUCCCAGCUGAUCCUGCUUACCAGAGGCACACUGGAAAGGUCCCACACUCCUGCAGGCCUCACCUACGACCAGCUCAACUUCACCUGCCAUGCUUUAAAACCCUGUCUAAACCCAUCAGCACUUACCACCAAAAAGACAUAAGUGACUGAGAAAGGGCCCUGGAUGGGGACGAACAUCGUUCAGCUCGCUCUGCUCUUCUACAGUCGUUAAUGUGUAGAGAAUAAAGGGUCAAGCUCUACGGGAUUCUUCCAACACGUUUUGGCUGGACAAGAGACGAAGGGGAGGAGGAGAAGGAAGGAUGCACGCACAGUGCGUUUCCAGCACAACCUCUCUCCACACCCAGAGCAUCACCGGAACUCACAGCAAGGUCACAAUCAGGGCCACUGUUGCCAAGUGUUCCGUUCGGUACGUGACAGGUCUGGGGGAGGAGCAGGUGGCAGGAACCAACAGCAUGUAUUUUUGAAUUGUCAGUUUACCUGUUACUGAUUCUGAGUUCAUACCUGUGUGGGAACUAUACUCAUCCACAUUUCCAAGCUACCAAAGACUAAUCAAAUAAAAUCAAAAUCUAGCAACACAAGCGACACACUUCUUUACCAUACACAGCUUUCCUCCUCUGCCACGUACCUCUCAGUUUUUACUCUCUGAGGAGCUGAAGAGUUUGUUUUUAGUUUUCAAGGGAAAGAUGACUUUCUCCUGGGUUAAGAAACAGGGAAUGCCCAGGAAGAUGCCUGCUGCAGUAGCAUGAGCUGCACAGCGCGCUUCUGUGCUUUACGAGAGCUUUUUAAGUUUAAGGCCUUGCCUCUUCUAUCCCUCUUCAAAUAGGGCAAGGCCAGCAAUGAGAAGGAACAAAGAGUUUCAAUUAUACAAUGAAAUGACUGGGUUUGGCCCCUCAAAUUUGUUCUUAGAAGUUCAAACCCUGAUCUGAGCAGUAAUAGGGUUCUCAGGUUCUGCUUCAUGCUCAUGGAAAAAAGCGAAGAUCCCAGUUACAAAACUAAGCAUGCAUAAAAACGUUCAGGUUCUAUUAUGUGCCACUUACUCAUCCCAGGAGUCCUUAAACAAAGGACAAGUGCUAGGCUUUUACUACUUCAGGAAAAAAACACCAGCCCAGUAAAACAAGUAUGAGGAACGUAACACUAUCAAGGCUUCAGCCUCUGCUAGAUGGAGUCCAUAUUCCCUGCCUUUAUGAGGAGUUUAAGCUCCUCUCAGGCAUCAGUGCUGACAAUUACAAACCUAAGAUGGGGACUAGAACAUGCAAGAGAGAUUUGUGCAGUUUCAGCUCAAAAAAGAAGCUGAAAAGCUCAUUCUUCCAGGCUGGCUUUAGACAAACUGGUAGAAGCUGCUGGCUCUAGCUGCACUGCAGGAAAAAGAGCGUUUGGAAAGGAGGCUGUCAGGAGGAGGGGCUCAGCGUCACACAAGAAAUUUUACUCUGAUUGCAAAAAUAAGCUGCUGUUCUAAUCCACCUGAGUAAAUCUAGGGUGCUAGGGAUGCAGGGGAGCGAGAGCUACAAGUUGACCACAUCAAUCAGAAAGGCUGGUCCAGCACCAGGCCCUGGGAAGGAAAGUGCAAGUGAGAAGCUAGUAUGGGUCUCAGGUGACAGACCACAACCUGUUUAUUUAAAGAGCCUUUGUUUUUCUUCCAGAGUUUUUUUUUGUGUUGUUCUGCUUCGGUCUGAAGACAAAGCCCAGAUCAUACAAGAAGCUCAAUCCCGUAAGAGGCAGGAAGCUACCCUCUUGUUGCCAGCCGUAAGGAUAUUCCAACUCCCCAGCAGUGCUUCCUCUGGAAGGCACUUUCCAAUCUCUGAUGUGUUCAAUUUAGACUCCAAAGCAUUUAGUCAUCUCAGCAUGUGAUUAUGCCACCAUGCCAACCACAGGAGCUUGGGUGGGCAAAGAAAUGCAGCAAAGGCAGGAGUUUGAAAUAAUUAAAAAAUUUAAAAGGCCCCUGUUAAGACCAGUACUUCAGAUUUCAAAACAACUCCGCUUUUAGUGUUAUCAUCAGCCUCUGUGAAACAAUUAAGAGUGACAGAAUCCAUUUCUAAAAAAGCGUAAAGAAGAAAGAUUUUAGGAGGGAACGAGAUUUGUUAAGGCACUGGAUAUUUGCAAGCCUGAUGAAUCUGGCAGUGCCCUCGCUGGAACAAGCUGGGAAGAGACAGCCGAAAGCUGGCAGCUCCCUCCGAACGGUGCUGCACCUGCAGGGAGACAGCGAUGGGGCGACACGAGGGCUAUGGAUAAGCCCCCCCGACACCACCAGCUGGGGUGGUUCUAGGGAAAACACUUUUGUCCGAGAGCCUGUCUGAAAUACUGCACCCAGGUACCACUGACCUGGAUGGGACAGAGAAACUGAAGAGACGUUUAAAAGGACUGAAGGCAAUUCUGCUCUUGCCCUGGCUCAGAGCAGCGAGCGUGCAGGGGAAGAGGUAAGCACAGCCAUGGCAACCUGGCUCAUGCCACGCACUGACGCACACCCACUGCCACCCUCAGGGUCAGGGGUUGCCAGAGCAGUCAAUGCCCAGAGAUGCCACUUCGUUUCACUUCAGGAAUUUUUUUUUUUUUUUUUUUUUUUAAUAAACGUUUCUGUUUUCCUCAGCGAGGCUUGAUUCAAACUACAAUAAAACACAUUUACGCAACUCCUCCUCCAAUUACCACACAGGCCUCGUUUGAAAUCUCAGCGCGAACCUUGCACCCCCAGGGACACGGGCACAAGCCCGUCCCAGCUGCGUUGCCACCGCCAGAGCCCUGGGCCCACGCCAUGCCUUGCAUUCGAGAGCCACAUGGAAAGCUUUCUCCACUGCGUUUGUGACUGUGCACAUCUCUGAGACAAGUCAAUCCAGAAGGCCGAAAUGACAUUACUAGGAAAAUGAUCCCAGUGAACUGAAAGCACAGGUAUGGCAGCAUUUAAAAUGAGCGCAGUGCUGUCAGGCGAAGUUAAACGCCUUCACUUAUCCCUGUAACCGCCCCACGCAGCACACGAAGGUCAGGUCAGCACCAUCCCUCCCUCCCCUGCACCGUUUGGGAUCUCCAGCAGGGUUAGGUUGCUUCCAACGUCAGGCUGACUGAGGCUUCCGCACAUUUUCAAGGGUCUCUGAUAACACCAGCUCAGCAGCAAAAAGGAAGUGAAAGGCUGAUUUCCCUACCCUACAACAGUGAGCUGCUUGAAAGCGUGCUUAGAAGCAGAGGGUCAUCUCACGAGGCGUGUGCUUCAGCACUUACGGUGCAAGAACGCUCUGUAUUUCCAGGGGAUGCGUGUGACUGAGAGCACAGACUAUUGUUUGGGAUCCAACAUCAGAACUGGUCAUCCUACAGCAAUUUCCUGAUUAAACGCUGACCCGCCUAGUCCCUCCAGCUGGGCCUAAACCCGGCCUCGGGAACGUACAGGGCCCGGCUCCUGAGCAAGCUGCGGCCGCCGUCCAGGCCCUCCCCGCCGAGAUGGCCGCUCCGUGCUUCCGUUAGGCCUGUAACCGAAAUCGCUCCUGAGAAAACGAAAGGUUCCAGUUAGGGGAAUCUGUGUAAGGCGUACAGGCAGGAAGCAGAGCUGAGCCGCUAACGACUAGAAUAGAAACAGGAAACGAGCCCGGCAUCGAGCAUAGCGCAAUCUGCUGCCAGCGCAGGCUCCUGUGAAGCCGAGCUGCAGCAGCGGCCCAGCGCAGUGUGAUUUCUGAAGGGACGCUUCUUGGCUUCGCCAGGGGGAGACGGCGAAGGCAGAGGGUUUGGUGUGGCCCAGAGAGGCCCGACAGAUGCACCACGGGGUGGGGAGCUUCCUCCUGAGCACCAGGUCAGAUCAGCUCGGUUCCAGCCCGGAGGAAGGGGUGGGAGGAGAGAAAUUGCCACAUGGACAAAUAGCAGAGCGGCCCUGAGAAGCAGGUCAGACGCACGAAGCAUGUCACUGGAGUGGCUGGAAGAUUAGGGUAGCUCUGCAAGCAGCACUCUACACUCUGCAUCUGUAAAGGCUAGUAGCAAAAUUAAAAUUAAUUAUAAAACAAGCAUGGCCUUCUUAAGAAACCACACAAAACUGAUUGCCAAGAUCGCACACACCAAGAAAAGCUUAGACAAAGAAGCCCUGGUCAGGAUAAAAAAUGUUUUAAAUUCCCCGUAUACCAUAACUGGGGAUAGAAACCUUCCCAUCAGCAUAAACUGGAAGGCACCAAUCUCUCCAGUACCAGUGUUUCAGGUACUGCACUCCUUGGGGCAAGCCUCCAGGUGCUGAUGUGUUCAUCCGCACACCCACUGCGAUGCCCAGUCACCAGAGCUUGCAACUCCCCUGCUUCGAAAUGCAUACACCACUAAUCCCUCUCUCAAGGCAAGUAAUAAGACAAGCUCAGAAGGCCAAAUACAAACCAAACAUAAGCAGGAAGUCCCGUAUGGGGGGGAGGGAGCGACUGAAGUGACCAAGAGAUUCAACUAUAAAAGUUUCUUUUCCCUUCCCCCAAAAACAAAUUGCCAAACUGAAAAAUAUUAAGCUCAAAGAAUUUUUAAGAAAACAUUCAUUUCCUGGGCUGCGCCUCCGUCCUCAUCCACAGCAGCUUUAAGAGAGUUUUUCACUGUAUGUCAGGCUGUUGCAUUGGUUAUUUCCAGGUCAGGGGAUGCAGCUGACAGAGCUCAACUUUAUUCCACUUCAAGUACCUGCAGAGUGCAAGCUGAAACGACCACCUUGUAAAACUGGCAAAUCCAAACAGUGCUUUCCUGACACCCUGCAGCAUGUCCAGAUUCAGAAACUACUUGGCUUAUGAGGAAGAAGUAAUCAAACAAAAAAUACCCCACGACACUGGGGAUGUUCACAAGAGUCACUUCUCUACCAGCAAGAACUCAGCAGCUUCGUUUCUCUCCCUUCCCAUAGUCUAAUUUUGCUAAGUCCAUAAUGCAAAAAGUCCAAGACCAGAACACACGUUCAAAAGUUAAACAGACCAGGAAUUUGUUUGCAGUUGGUUAUACUCCUUCCUGCCAUUGAUAAGACGCUUUUCAGACCUGAAGUUGGUGAUGAACCAAACUGAAAUGCAGCUAAAUGAGAAACAGUUUGCCAGCAGUGCAAAAUAUUGAGAUUAAAAUGAUUUCCCACUCCACAUUGAGAUGAAAAUCAGUUGCCCAGAAAAGGAAUGGGGUUCCUCCCUCAAGCUACACAGUAAACUGACCAAAGCCGACUAAAGACAUUCUGUGACUGGAAUUCUGAAACUUCUGUACAAGCUGCCCCAGUUUGCUUCAUUAUGCAUUUACUGCAACAAAAAUUCAAAUGCAACCUUGCUAUUUCAGCACCUCCAAAACCCUGCCAGUAUCUGCCCUCCUGGUUCAGCCAGAAGUCCUGCCCCAAGCAGAACCCUUCCCAUCAAAGCACUGCUGAUACCAGUGUGCCUCACACAAGUUUUGGUUUCUACAGAUAGAAAAACUUCACUAAAGAAAUCGCAGAAAGUCCAAUGAAAAGCACAUACAGCCAGUAUAUACUGGUAGCAAAUCAGUUUUGCUCUAUACAUGGCUUUUAGGGCCAAUCUGUUAAAGGUCCUAACACCACAGUUAUCAACUUCUGUGGUUAGGAAGGUGCUAACAGCAUGGCAAGCACUGUCUCUGUGCUCUACUCCGCAUCCACUUCAAAGACACCAGGAACCUGUAGUUGACUCCUUCAAGGCAGAGACCAAGGCAACGUAACACUCUGCUCCACGUUGCACAAGGAGAUACGAAAUUCCUUCCAACAAUCCCAAAACUCCAGAGAUUUCUGCAGCAGAACUGACUUCAAUCCAAACCCAAGUGGACGCCCUAGCACCUUGUUUGCUUCCCCUGUACCUGUUACCAGAGCAUCUUCAAAGCCUAAGCAGAAGGUAAUUAAUAGUUAGAAAUAUUUGACUUCUACAGAUUCUGUAUCCAAGCCUCCAAAGGUAGAAACACUGAAUAAACUGGAUAUAACUUGCCAAGAAGAAUUCUUUGCUGAAGAGAUGAGACUAGGGAAUCUCCUGGGAGAGUAAGAUUUAUGCUAUGGAUUACUAUUCCUCUAUUACACCCAGACACAAAAGACUACACUUCACUUCUCCCAUACACAAUUGGAAUCUAAGUUUAGUUUAGCUGCAAUCCUGACAAGAGAUUCCCUAGGGAAGCAGCAAAUUCUUCAGAGAAAUUCUUCAUCCAGCCUACUACAGGAAAAGAGUACCAGCCAGGACACUCGUGUGGAUGCAUUACUCUUUAAAAGACAUCAGCACAUUCACACGGGCAGCAGCAUUCUCCCCCAGUGCAGCAGGCACAAUCUUCAGAAAGGGAACAACAAACCAAGGAAUACUUUAGCUAGAACAGCCUAGUAACACCAGCAGAAAUAGAAGACCAGACAUUUUGCUACUUACAGAUGUUCAGACAAAGCACUAGAGCAAUCAGUAAUUUGACUCUUCUGCUGUUAAAAGUCUUAAUACAGGAACACAGUCAGAAAAAAGUUUAGUUAGGGACACAAAAAUCACUGCCAGGAGGAUACCCUGAAGACCUCCACCCAGAAUGAUCAACGUUGCAUUUCUCAGGCAGAUCCUAACAAACCAGCAAGAUCUGACAGGAGUUGAACAACUUGACCACGUUGCCAAACCAACACUUAACAUCUCUAGGAGACCACCACUUCCUGAAACGGUGACAGUGUCAGCCAAAGAUAUAUUCCCACUUUUACUGCUUGAAGUUCCGGCAUUAAUACGAUGCACAGUAUUAAAUGUGUAAAGGCUAAAGUCUCGUAAAGGCACUGGGUACAUAAAUUUAACACUUCGUAAAUAAUUACCUAAAAGCAACAACCUCCUUUUCCUCCUGGAGCUGAUCUAUGUUUAAUUAAAGAUGAUGCAUCGUACGAUUUGCCCAGAUUCCAGGAUACCCAGUGAGCUAUUCCACAGUGCCCACGGAGGCUUAGAAGAGGACUCAGAACUCCA